This 256-nucleotide ribosomal RNA is filed under the name uncultured bacterium. RNAcentral describes it as "partial 16S ribosomal RNA". It matches the Rfam family "Bacterial small subunit ribosomal RNA", at positions 74 to 334 of the family's 1533-position model. The record is from RNAcentral.
CAAUAUAAGUGAUGGCGACCGGCGCACGGGUGAGUAACACGUAUCCAACCUGCCGAUAACUCGGGGAUAGCCUUUCGAAAGAAAGAUUAAUACCCGAUGGUAUAAUAAAACCGCAUGGUUUAAUUAUUAAGGAAUUUCGGUUAUCGAUGGGGAUGCGUUCCAUUAGGCAGUUGGUGAGGUAACGGCUCGCCAAACCUUCGAUGGAUAGGGGUUCUGAGAGGAAGGUCCCCCACAUUGGAACUGAGACACGGUCCAA